RNAcentral lists this ribosomal RNA (493 nucleotides) under uncultured bacterium. RNAcentral describes it as "partial 16S ribosomal RNA". It matches the Rfam family "Bacterial small subunit ribosomal RNA", at positions 28 to 506 of the family's 1533-position model. The record is from RNAcentral.
GACGAACGCUGGCGGCGUGCUUAACACAUGCAAGUCGAACGGUGAAGCGCCUUCCUUUUUGGUGGGUGUGGAUGAGUGGCGAACGGGUGAGUAACACGUGAGUAACCUGCCCCCUUCUUCUGGAUAACCGCAUGAAAGUGUGGCUAAUACGGGAUAUUCUGGGUCUGUCGCAUGAUGGGUCUGGGAAAGAUAUUGUUUCGGUGGGGGAUGGGCUCGCGGCCUAUCAGCUUGUUGGUGGGGUGAUGGCCUACCAAGGCGGUGACGGGUAGCCGGCCUGAGAGGGUGGACGGUCACGCUGGGACUGAGACACGGCCCAGACUCCUACGGGAGGCAGCAGUGGGGAAUCUUGCACAAUGGGCGCAAGCCUGAUGCAGCGACGCCGCGUGAGGGAUGGAGGCCUUCGGGUUGUGAACCUCUUUCGCCAGUGAAGCAGGCCUGCCUCGUUUGUGGGUGGGUUGACGGUAGCUGGAUAAGAAGCGCCGGCUAACUACGU